GCUUGUGUGUGUGUGUUGUGUCCCAAUGUAAUUUGAUUGAGAUACGUUUUUUCUUUCUUUCUUUUCUUAUGCUAAAGUGAUUAAAAUACUGUUUAUAUUAAAAUUAGAUAAGGCCCGCCUAAAUAGGCGGGUGUAAGAUGUAAAUGUAAUUUUUAUCGAUAAUAUUUAAAUUUUGAAUAGUAAAAUAAUAAUCGAUACAUUGUUCUUGAUAAAUAAUUUUGAAUAGUAAAAUAGUAGUCUUAUGAAUUUUAUUUUGUUAUACCCAUUCAAUCUUAUUGAUGAUAUUUGAAGUCUAAAUAGUAACCUACACACUUUUUCUUUAUUAUAAUUUAGUAUUUAGAAGAA
This 345-nucleotide small RNA is filed under the name Arabidopsis thaliana (thale cress). RNAcentral's name for it is "ATSL303100". The record is from RNAcentral. Lineage: Eukaryota; Viridiplantae; Streptophyta; Magnoliopsida; Brassicales; Brassicaceae.